UUUAAUUUUAAGCUAAAUCCAAUAUAAUCUUAAUUGUUGUAUUUGGAUUAUAUUAAUUUACAUAGUUAGGUUUCUAAUUAUGGUUCUUUAAUCACUCAUUAGUUUUCAUUAUUUCAGUUCCUCUAGGAUAUAUAUGAACUUAGGAUGUAUGAUAUUUAUUUGCCACAUGGCGUUAAAAAAACCAAGUUAAAGUUGACAUCUGCAUAUUUAUUAUACCAAUGAGCAAUUUAUUUCUCCAAUGCUCUUGGGCAAACGUGGCCUAACAAACUUUUUUAUAUAAAAGUUAUUCUAAUGUAACUAAUUAACUAUGUAAUAAAUGUUGACUUGAAUUUAUAGCAGUUUAGCUACCAAGGUGUUCAAACAUGAUGAGCUAGAAACCUUAUUAACAUUAGUAAGAAAAUUUGGUCUAGUCAACGUGUGAGUUCUAUGUAUUUCAUGCAUGCAUGCAUACAUGCAAACAUAUCCUUACAUAUUGCAUACAUAUAUAUAUAUAUAC
This 496-nucleotide unclassified non-coding RNA is filed under the name Hevea brasiliensis (rubber tree). Lineage: Eukaryota; Viridiplantae; Streptophyta; Magnoliopsida; Malpighiales; Euphorbiaceae. The record is from RNAcentral.